RNAcentral lists this ribosomal RNA (450 nucleotides) under uncultured bacterium. Its description in RNAcentral is "bacterial SSU rRNA". It matches the Rfam family "Bacterial small subunit ribosomal RNA", at positions 330 to 794 of the family's 1533-position model. The record is from RNAcentral.
CCCAGACUCCUACGGGAGGCAGCAGUGGGGAAUAUUGGGCAAUGGGCGCAAGCCUGACCCAGCAACGCCGCGUGAAGGAAGAAGGCUUUCGGGUUGUAAACUUCUUUUGUCAGGGACGAAGCAAGUGACGGUACCUGACGAAUAAGCCACGGCUAACUACGUGCCAGCAGCCGCGGUAAUACGUAGGUGGCAAGCGUUAUCCGGAUUUAUUGGGUGUAAAGGGCGUGUAGGCGGGAAUGCAAGUCAGAUGUGAAAACUAUGGGCUCAACCCAUAGCCUGCAUUUGAAACUGUAUUUCUUGAGUGCUGGAGAGGCAAUCGGAAUUCCUAGUGUAGCGGUGAAAUGCGUAGAUAUUAGGAGGAACACCAGUGGCGAAGGCGGCUUACUGGACUGUAACUGACGUUGAGGCUCGAAAGCGUGGGGAGCAAACAGGAUUAGAUACCCUUGUAGG